This 2071-nucleotide long non-coding RNA is filed under the name Citrus sinensis (sweet orange). RNAcentral's name for it is "long non-coding RNA (CSIN_LNC005045)". Lineage: Eukaryota; Viridiplantae; Streptophyta; Magnoliopsida; Sapindales; Rutaceae. The record is from RNAcentral.
AGUACAAAACUCAGUAAGCAAACUAGUUUUUCUUAUAGAAAAUACAUACAUACUUAUACAUAAUGCAAUGGAUGAUAUGCCAUGAUCUUUUGGAAAUACUGUAAAAUAAAUUCAAAAAAAUCUCUUUCUGUCACUUUCAAACUUUCUCAUUUUCUUUCGAUGAAAUAUGUAUCCUGCAAUGUGGCACUUUGUGCUGUGCGUGGCACUUUGCACCAUGCGUGGCACUUUGCGGCGCUCUGGCCCUCAAGAGGUGGCCCCCGCAUAGUCUCAAGAGGUGGCCCCCACACAACUUCAAGAGGUGGCCCCCAAUGCAAAAUCUCAUAAAACAGAAAUUCCGUUUGCUAAAAUCCACUUUCUCAUUCAUAGAAAACUCAAUGCAUUUUCGUGCUCAUGCCAAUGAACCAUCACACAUACAUAUGCCCAUGUACAUAAUCACGCCCAUUACAUAACAACACAUCACAUAAACACAUGAGCAGAGACAUAUAAAUCCAUAUUCGUACAUAUCAAAAUAGGACAUCCGCCUUGGCCGUACAGCAGAGCUCUCACCAAGAAACACCUCUUUUCUGACAAAUGCAACGUAAUAUGAUCACGUCCUGCUUAAUAACACAAAGCAUAGAGGCUGCUCUAAUACUUUUCUAACUUAGCCAAAGUUGUUGAAGAUAUAAGUACUUUUAAGUGCUCAGUAAUCUUUAUUAAAUUAGCAUGAUUGGACAUAAUUAAAAAAUGAAAAUUGAAUCAUUAUGAUGAUUGAAUUAGGUAGUUUGAUUGGUGUUAUUUUGUCUAAUUAUCAAGGAGAACAUUCAAUUAUAUACAAUAUGUCCUUCCUAUUUUCUCUUUUAAUUAAAUCAUAAAAAGACUUGCAAUAUUGAUUAUGUAUCUGUUAUGUUGGUUAUUGAAGUGAAUUAUAGUUGUUUUCGUGAUUGUCAAAUAUUGUCUUUGUAACUUAUUUAUUUUUUAUUUAUGAAAUCAAUGGGGAUUUUGCUCUUAUUGAUGGAUGUUGCUGGGUACUAAGAACUGAUGGUCGUAUUAAUUAAUCAGUAUAAGUUAGUUGAAAGUUCAAUGUUCAUGCACUUUUGAGCUACAUAAGGCAAGGAAAAUUGAGUGACUUUAUGUGAUGUAAUGUGACACUAUUCAAUUAAGCAACUCUACUUUUUAGUGAUGGACACAAAUGAAACUAGUGGACUUGCAUUAGCUAGAUGAUAAUUAAAAGGCCAAGAUUAUAUCUUUAACACCCCAGUCCGAAAUCCAAGGGCAAAUAUGUCCACAACUCACAUAUGAUUUAAAUAACUCUUUACAAACAAUAAAAUCCGAGCUUCAAAUACAAAAGCCAGCGGAAUAACUUAAAAAUUUAGCCAAACCAUCUACCAUCUUUAACUUGUCACUCAUCACGAAUCAAUCCUGGAUCUACUAUCCUCAAUUUAAAUCCAUCUUCUCACUCAUCGCGAAUCAAUCCUGACUUCUGGAAACUGAAUCACAAUAAACUAUAACGAGUACAAAACCCAGUAAGCAAACUAGUUUUUUUUAUACCAAAAUACAUCCAUACUUAUACAUAAUGCAAUGGAUGAUAUGCCAUGAUCUUUUGGAAAUAUUGUAAAAUAAAUUCAUAAAAAUCUAUUUCUGUCGCUUUCAAACUUUCUCAUUUUCUUUCGAUGAAAUACAUAUCCUGCAAUGUGGCACUUUGUGCUGUACGUGGUACUAUGCACCAUGCGUGGCACUUUGCUGCGCUCUGGCCCUCAAGAGGUGGCCCCCGCAUAGUCUCAAGAGGUGGCCCCCACACAACUUCAAGAGGUGGCCCCCAAUGCAAAAUCUCAUAAAACAGAAAUUCCGUUUGCUAAAAUCCACUUUCUCAUUCAUAGAAAACUCAAUGCAUUUUCGUGCUCAUGCCAAUGAACCAUCACACAUACAUAUGCCCAUGUACAUAAUCACGCCCAUUACAUAACAACACAUCACAUAAACACAUGAGCAGAGACAUAUAAAUCCAUAUUCGUACAUAUCAAAAUAGGCUUUUCAUACAAGUCAGACAUAUAUAUUAUUUAUUGUGAUUCGUUUUAAAGUCUAGUUCACUUACCUC